Dalotia coriaria is the source of this 613-nucleotide long non-coding RNA. RefSeq lists it as uncharacterized. NCBI's taxonomy places the organism in Eukaryota, Metazoa, Arthropoda, Insecta, Coleoptera, Staphylinidae. The transcript is spliced from 2 exons. The record is from RefSeq and is a predicted model, not a curated record.
GACGAUUGGAGACGCACCACGUUGCGACUACCGCGGCCCGACGCGCCGGAGCGCUCUCCGUGCUACGGUAUAUAAAGUAUUUUCCGAUGCGAGCGUGGAUUGGAUAGGUCAUAUCGCUGUAUGAACACACCGCGCGCGCGACUCGUGUGAUCGUGUCGCAUGCGUUUUGUUUGAUGAGCUGAACGCGCCCGACCUUUCGCGGCGGAUGGAUUCGGUUUUGCAUUCAUUACGCCCCCGAAACAAUCCGUUUUGGGCGUGCCAGCACACGUAAUUAUCAGUUGGAGUUUGAUUUUGAAGAAAAAAUCGGGUCGAGAUGGGAAAUAUUGAAAUUCUUCGUCAUAGUAGCGCUUCGUGGAAUGAAACGAAAAACGUGACGAAAUCGACACAUUCACUAUUCGUUCAGUGGUCCAAUCGACGACGACGGGCCGAUUCGCGGCGUGCUCCGCAACACAACUUCUUCGUCGCAGAGAGCUGCUGCUGCUGGCUGGCUGCUGCCUCUCUCGCCGGUAAAACCUGAAUUUUAACUUUUACGGCAGAACUUAGAGAGUCGAAGAAUUCGUGUAAAUUCGCAGUAAGGACGUGAAUCACUCAAUGAAAUCUUAUAUUCCUUGAA